This 520-nucleotide ribosomal RNA is filed under the name uncultured bacterium. RNAcentral's name for it is "partial 16S ribosomal RNA". The record is from RNAcentral.
CACGUAGUUAGCCGGGGCUUUCUGGUAAAGUACCGUCAGCCUAGCAUCAUCUCCUAUACUAGGUGUUCUUCCUUUACAACAGAGUUUUACAACCCAUAGGGCCUUCAUCACUCACGCGGCAUUGCUCGUUCAGGGUUUCCCCCAUUGACGAAUAUUCCUAACUGCUGUCUCCCGUAGGAGUCUGGGCCGUGUCUCAGUCCCAGUGUGUCCGAUCAGCCUCUCAGCUCGGAUAUGCAUCGUUGCCUUGGUAAGCCAUUACCCCACCAACUAGCUAAUACAACGCAAGCCCAUCUUAAAGUGAAGCAAAUGCUCCUUUUAACAUAUCUAGUUAUCUAGUUAUGUAUCAUCCGGUAUUAGCGACCUAUUUCUAAUUCGUUAUCCCAGUCUCGUAAGGUAGGUUACCCACGCGUUACUCCACCCGUCUGCCACUAAGUGGCAACCCAAAUCCUAAUUUUGUGCAAGCACUCCUAUUUUCAUUCGGACCUACCUUCGUUCGUACUUGCUAUGUUCUUAGGCUACG